RNAcentral lists this transfer RNA (75 nucleotides) under Candidatus Saccharimonadota bacterium. RNAcentral's name for it is "tRNA-Glu". It matches the Rfam family "tRNA". Rfam says of the family: Transfer RNA (tRNA) molecules are approximately 80 nucleotides in length. Their secondary structure includes four short double-helical elements and three loops (D, anti-codon, and T loops). The record is from RNAcentral. Lineage: Bacteria; Candidatus Saccharimonadota.
GGUCCCAUCGUCUAACGGUUAGGACACCAGAUUUUCAAUCUGGUAAUCGGAGUUCGAUUCUCCGUGGGAUCACCA